GUGCCGUGACGGCGUCUUACCAUGCAGUCGAACGAUGAACCGCUUUCGGGCGGGGAUUAGUGGCGAACGGGUGAGUAACACGUGGGCAAUCUGCCCUGCACUCUGGGACAAGCCCUGGAAACGGGGUCUAAUACCGGAUAUGACUGUCCAUCGCAUGGUGGAUGGUGUAAAGCUCCGGCGGUGCAGGAUGAGCCCGCGGCCUAUCAGCUUGUUGGUGAGGUAGUGGCUCACCAAGGCGACGACGGGUAGCCGGCCUGAGAGGGCGACCGGCCACACUGGGACUGAGACACGGCCCAGACUCCUACGGGAGGCAGCAGUGGGGAAUAUUGCACAAUGGGCGAAAGCCUGAUGCAGCGACGCCGCGUGAGGGAUGACGGCCUUCGGGUUGUAAACCUCUUUCAGCAGGGAAGAAGCGAAAGUGACGGUACCUGCAGAAGAAGCGCCGGCUAACUACGUGCCAGCAGCCGCGGUAAUACGUAGGGCGCAAGCGUUGUCCGGAAUUAUUGGGCGUAAAGAGCUCGUAGGCGGCUUGUCACGUCGGUUGUGAAAGCCCGGGGCUUAACCCCGGGUCUGCAGUCGAUACGGGCAGGCUAGAGUUCGGUAGGGGAGAUCGGAAUUCCUGGUGUAGCGGUGAAAUGCGCAGAUAUCAGGAGGAACACCGGUGGCGAAGGCGGAUCUCUGGGCCGAUACUGACGCUGAGGAGCGAAAGCGUGGGGAGCGAACAGGAUUAGAUACCCUGGUAGUCCACGCCGUAAACGGUGGGCACUAGGUGUGGGCAAAAUUCCACGUUGUCCGUGCCGCAGCCAACGCAUUAAGUGCCCCCGCCUGGGGAGUAC
RNAcentral lists this ribosomal RNA (836 nucleotides) under Streptomyces sp. BPSEAC13. RNAcentral's name for it is "bacterial SSU rRNA". It matches the Rfam family "Bacterial small subunit ribosomal RNA", at positions 33 to 883 of the family's 1533-position model. The record is from RNAcentral. Lineage: Bacteria; Bacillati; Actinomycetota; Actinomycetes; Kitasatosporales; Streptomycetaceae.